CCUACGGGAGGCAGCAGUGGGGAAUAUUGGGCAAUGGAGGAAACUCUGACCCAGCGACGCCGCGUGCGGGAUGAAGGCCUUCGGGUUGUAAACCGCUUUCAGUAGGGAAGAAGCGAAAGUGACGGUACCUACAAAAGAAGCACCGGCUAACUAUGUGCCAGCAGCCGCGGUAAUACAUAGGGUGCAAGCGUUGUCCGGAAUUAUUGGGCGUAAAGAGCUCGUAGGUCGUUUGUUACGUCGGAUGUGAAAACCUGAGGCUCAACCUCAGGCCUGCAUUCGAUACGGGCAAACUAGAGUUUGGUAGGGGAGACUGGAAUUCCUGGUGUAGCGGUGGAAUGCGCAGAUAUCAGGAGGAACACCAAUGGCGGAGGCAGGUCUCUGGGCCAAUACUGACACUGAGGAGCGAAAGUCUGGGGAGCGAACAGGAUUAGAUACCCGUGGUAGUCCAGACCGUAAACGGUGGGCACUAGUUGUGGGAACCUUCCACGGUUUUCUGCGACGCNGCGUACGCAUUAGUAGCCCGCCGUCGGGUAGGUACGUACGUCGCGAAGAAGUUAAACCGUAACGAAACGUAAGUAAGUAACGGUACGUCGUUAGAGUACGUUACGACGAACGACGACGACGGAGGGAGGAGG
RNAcentral lists this ribosomal RNA (635 nucleotides) under uncultured bacterium. Its description in RNAcentral is "bacterial SSU rRNA". The stretch from base 1 to 525 matches the Rfam family "Bacterial small subunit ribosomal RNA", at positions 338 to 873 of the family's 1533-position model. The record is from RNAcentral.